This 1860-nucleotide long non-coding RNA is filed under the name Homo sapiens (human). RNAcentral's name for it is "HSALNT0135653". Lineage: Eukaryota; Metazoa; Chordata; Mammalia; Primates; Hominidae. The record is from RNAcentral.
CCCUUUUCUCUAUAACACAUCCUCCAGGAAGAGUUGGGAACAGGGAGCUAAGGAGAAAGGUGUCCCUUUCCCGAGGCCCCGGUGAAGGCCACUUGCAGCUCUCCCUCUGACUGCUUGCAGAGAUAACAUCAGUUUGUGCAGAGCAGGGAGGGGAAGGAGUCAGGUUUCCCCAGAGGCUGUUUCCCAGGUGGAUCAUCCUGGGGAAGCCAACUCCAUAACACAGGCAGAUGUGCUGCUUUGAACUGGGUGAGUGCUCCCUCCUGGUGAGGAAUAUGCUGGAGCUGGGGUUGGGCAGCGAGUCAGGAUGGGAGGAAGCAAGGAGGAGUGGUUUACAGAAAGUAUUUCUGUGUAAGGGAUACCACAGUUGGAAGUUCCCUCUGGAUACCCAUGGGACUUGAACUCACGCUGCAUCAGGGCUUCCUGAGCUCCUCAGGGACAUCAGGUCACCAACUCCUUGUUUAGGAUGGACUCUCCCUGUGGGGACAGGGAAGGAACUGGAGCUGAAGUAGAUGUGAGAGGUGAAGGUGGCAGACUGUUGGGGCUCUGGAGAAUCUUCCAGACAUUCCUGCUGCCUCUCCCAGCAGACUAUGCCAAUGAAUGAAUCAGAAAGCUUGAAGAGGGAAGCAAAAGAUGAAAGAAAUCCUGGGACCACGCAGCUUCAGAGGGCUGGAUGCCACAGUCCCCAGGCUCGGGAAUGAACGCCUUAGCUGGAGCUUGGGGGCUUGGUGUCCCUGGACUACCCACACCGUAGCUCCAGGCAGGUUGCUAUGCAUGCUCACGUCAUCAUCCAUAUUCAGUUUCAUCAAUUACACUCAGUAAUAUCCUUGACAACUAUUUUUUUCCUCAAUUCAGGAUUUAAUCCAGGAUCACACAUUGCAUUUGGUUGUUAUUGUCUCUUCAGUUUCUUUUAAAUUGGGCAAAUCCUUAACCUUCUUUGUGUUUUAUGACCUUGACUUUUUUUGUGUGUGGCAAAAAAGUUCAAAUUAUACCUUGACAUUUUAAAAUAGUACAGGUCAAUUAUUAAGUAACAUUUCUUGUGAUUAAAUUCAGGUUAUGGGUUUUGGGCAGGACACUGGGGAGAUGCUGUGACCUUCUCAGAACACUGUAUCAAAGAUAUACAUGAGGUUGGCCUAUUCCAACACUGGGGACGUUAACUUUUUUUUUUUUUUUUUUAGAUGGAGUUUCACUCUUGUUGCCCAGGCUGGGGUGCAAUGGCGCAGUCUUGGCUCACUACAACCUCCAUCACCCGGGUUCAAGCGUUUCUCCUUCCGCAGCCUCCCAAGUAGCUGGGAUUACAGGCGCCUGCCACCAAGCCUGGCUAAUUUUUUGUAUUUUUAGUAGAGACGGGGUUUCGCCAUGUUGGCCAGGCUGGUCUCGAACUCCUGACCUCAGGUGAUCCACCAGCCUUGGCCUCCCAAAGUGUUGGGAUUACAGACGUCAGCCACUGCCCCCAGCCAGCGGACGUUAACUUUUGAUCACUGGUUAAGGUAGUAGCCUUCAGGUUUCAUCACUGUAAAGUUACUAUGUUUCCUCUUUGCAAUUAAUAAGUAAUUUAUGGGGAGAUGCCUUAAGACUUUGUAAAUAUCCUGUUUCUCAUCAAACUUUUAACCACCAGUUUAAAUAUCCACUGAUGAUUUUGUAACAUCGUUAUUCCUUGUUAAUUUACUAGUUAACAUUCUACUGUAAGAAGAGCUUUUCCUUGACCUUCUCAUGUAUGCAUAAAUGGAUGGAUGGAUAUCAGUAUGAACUUGUAGACUGUUAUUUUAUUAGUGGGUUAUAAUCCAUUAUUAUUAGCAUUUAUUUAUUGCUCAAACUGUCACAGAUUUGGCUGGUGGGUGUGGUGUGGGUUUUCGUUUUGUU